Molecule: ribosomal RNA, 507 nt
Filed under: uncultured bacterium
Lineage: Bacteria
Description: bacterial SSU rRNA
Rfam family: Bacterial small subunit ribosomal RNA
Source: RNAcentral
CCGCGGGAUUAGGGUUUGAUUAUGGCUCAGGAUGAACGCUAGCGGCAGGCUAACACAUGCAAGUCGAGGGGUGUAUAGUGCUUGCACUAUAGAGACCGGCGCACGGGUGCGUAACGCGUAUGCAAUCUACCUUAUACAGGGGAAUAGCCCAGGGAAACUUGGAUUAAUGCCCCAUAGUAUCAUUAAGUAGCCUUACUAUAUGAUUAAAGAUUUAUCGGUAUAAGAUGAGCAUGCGUCCCAUUAGUUAGUUGGUAAGGUAACGGCCUACCAAGACAGCGAUGGGUAGGGGCCCUGAGAGGGGGAUCCCCCACACUGGUACUGAGACACGGACCAGACUCCUACGGGAGGCAGCAGUGAGGAAUAUUGGACAAUGGGCGAAAGCCUGAUCCAGCCAUGCCGCGUGGAAGACGGCCCUAUGGGUUGUAAACUGCUUUUGUACGGGAAGAAACACCUCCACGUGUGGAGGCUUGACGGUACCGUAAGAAUAAGCAUCGGCUAACUCCGUGC